This 163-nucleotide ribosomal RNA is filed under the name Ophiostomatales sp. RNAcentral's name for it is "partial large subunit ribosomal RNA". It matches the Rfam family "Eukaryotic large subunit ribosomal RNA", at positions 99 to 261 of the family's 3401-position model. Lineage: Eukaryota; Fungi; Ascomycota; Sordariomycetes; Ophiostomatales. The record is from RNAcentral.
CGGCAAUAGCUCAAAUUUGAAAGCUGGCUCUUCGAGUCCGCAUUGUAAUUUGUAGAGGAUGUCUCGCGGACGGCACUGCCCUAAGUCCCUUGGAACAGGGCGUCAUAGAGGGUGAGAAUCCCGUAUGGGGGUGGAUGCCUGACGCAUGUGAGACUCCUUCGAC